This 466-nucleotide ribosomal RNA is filed under the name uncultured bacterium. RNAcentral's name for it is "partial 16S ribosomal RNA". It matches the Rfam family "Bacterial small subunit ribosomal RNA", at positions 28 to 507 of the family's 1533-position model. The record is from RNAcentral.
GAUGAACGCUGGCGGCGUGCUUAACACAUGCAAGUCGAACGAUGAAGCCCAGCUUGCUGGGUGGAUUAGUGGCGAACGGGUGAGUAACACGUGAGUAACCUGCCCUUAACUCUGGGAUAAGCCUGGGAAACUGGGUCUAAUACCGGAUAGGAGCGUCCACCGCAUGGUGGGUGUUGGAAAGAUUUAUCGGUUUUGGAUGGACUCGCGGCCUAUCAGCUUGUUGGUGAGGUAAUGGCUCACCAAGGCGACGACGGGUAGCCGGCCUGAGAGGGUGACCGGCCACACUGGGACUGAGACACGGCCCAGACUCCUACGGGAGGCAGCGGUGGGGAAUAUUGCACAAUGGGCGCAAGCCUGAUGCAGCGACGCCGCGUGAGGGAUGACGGCCUUCGGGUUGUAAACCUCUUUCAGUAGGGAAGAAGCGAAAGUGACGGUACCUGCAGAAGAAGCACCGGCUAACUACGUG